Molecule: long non-coding RNA, 1127 nt
Filed under: Anolis carolinensis (green anole)
Lineage: Eukaryota; Metazoa; Chordata; Lepidosauria; Squamata; Anolidae
Description: lncRNA (ENSACAG00000042615.1)
Source: RNAcentral
AUGACAGUUUCAAAUAUAUAUAUAUAUAUAUUUGUUAUGGGCAUCAUCUGUUGCAGGUUUGAAAGAGUCUCCACACAAAUAAAAGAAGAUUCUACGCUAUCAUGGUUUUUUCCAACGAAGUACUUUUCCUGCCCAGAGAAAUGUCUAAGUGUCUCUGAAAUGAAGGCUUAUACCUGGAGUAGAAACAACAUGCAAAAUGUUAAAAUUGUUCUCUCAACAAUCCAUCCCAUCUAGAUCCAUAAGUGAAAUGGAGAAAAUUCAUUUCCAAUUCCUGGAAAGCUCCAAGGUACUUGACUGCAGAAAAACUGAAACAUAAUUGUAUUCCUUUAAAUACCGUACCUACUGGUCAUCCAAGUCAGAUUUCAUAACAAUAUGACAGUUGUUUGUAGCUCGUGUGAAGAGAGUGGGUGGUCUCCAUGUGGACUGCAACAGCCUAUUGUUUCCAUCAUGAAAACACCAUUACAAUUGACGCUAAUCAGGCAUCCUUGUUUGCAAUCUUAUUAGAGAGAUCAAGGCAUGAAUGAAGAUGGAAAAAGAGCUAGCCUUCCAGGUCCAGGGGUGGCCCCUCCAAAACAGAGCUCAGGGCAAAGCUCAUGGAGAGGGCAGCAUGGGCAAAUGUAAGCUUUCAAGCUGUAUUUGUUUACUUUCUUCUUUCUAAGAAUGUUGAUAUUUUUCUUUAUUGGGAAAGGGGGGACCAAUGAAAAAUAAAUGAUGGGAAUUCUAAAAGGAGAUAAUUACCUUAAAUGCAAGUUUCUGAUUGGGUCAUGGCUCUCUAUUUAACUUAGUGGUUUAGUGAUUCCUAAAGGAAAUGAUUAUGUCUCUUUGUUCUUAAACAAAUAAUUUGUGUGUUCUUUAUCUCUGCAGCUGCUGAUAAUAUGAUAGGUACAACUCUAAGGAAUAAUUAUACCAAAUGGCCGUACGUACCUCAAAAGACAGAAUCCAUCUAUUAUGCAGAAUUCCCCACUGAAAUCUUAGAAAUCUUAUAUGCAUUGAUUGCUAGUUAGCAUUAGAAAGACUUUUGCAAGUUGAAUUCACAAAAGAAAAAAGGACUAUUUGCAUUAGGAAACAGGCAACAUAGGAUAGCUGAUAAGUACGUGGAGGAGUAAUGCAAUUAAUAUAGUUAUGUC